CAGGCUUAACACAUGCAAGUCGAGGGGCAGCAUGGUCUUAGCUUGCUAAGGCCGAUGGCGACCGGCGCACGGGUGAGUAACACGUAUCCAACCUGCCGUCUACUCUUGGACAGCCUUCUGAAAGGAAGAUUAAUACAAGAUGGCAUCAUGAGUCCGCAUGUUCACAUGAUUAAAGGUAUUCCGGUAGACGAUGGGGAUGCGUUCCAUUAGAUAGUAGGCGGGGUAACGGCCUACCUAGUCUUCGAUGGAUAGGGGUUCUGAGAGGAAGGUCCCCCACAUUGGAACUGAGACACGGUCCAAACUCCUACGGGAGGCAGCAGUGAGGAAUAUUGGUCAAUGGGCGAGAGCCUGAACCAGCCAAGUAGCGUGAAGGAUGACUGCCCUAUGGGUUGUAAACUUCUUUUAUAAAGGAAUAAAGUCGGGUAUGGAUACCCGUUUGCAUGUACUUUAUGAAUAAGGAUCGGCUAACUCCGUGCCAGCAGCCGCGGUAAUACGGAGGAUCCGAGCGUUAUCCGGAUUUAUUGGGUUUAAAGGGAGCGUAGAUGGAUGUUUAAGUCAGUUGUGAAAGUUUGCGGCUCAACCGUAAAAUUGCAGUUGAUACUGGAUAUCUUGAGUGCAGUUGAGGCAGGCGGAAUUCGUGGUGUAGCGGUGAAAUGCUUAGAUAUCACGAAGAACUCCGAUUGCGAAGGCAGCCUGCUAAGCUGCAACUGACAUUGAGGCUCGAAAGUGUGGGUAUCAAACAGGAUUAGAUACCCUGGUAGUCCACACGGUAAACGAUGAAUACUCGCUGUUUGCGAUAUACUGCAAGCGGCCAAGCGAAAGCGUUAAGUAUUCCACCUGGGGAGUACGCCGGCAACGGUGAAACUCAAAGGAAUUGACGGGGGCCCGCACAAGCGGAGGAACAUGUGGUUUAAUUCGAUGAUACGCGAGGAACCUUACCCGGGCUUAAAUUGCAGAUGAAUUACGGUGAAAGCCGUAAGCCGCAAGGCAUCUGUGAAGGUGCUGCAUGGUUGUCGUCAGCUCGUGCCGUGAGGUGUCGGCUUAAGUGCCAUAACGAGCGCAACCCUUGUUGUCAGUUACUAACAGGUUCCGCUGAGGACUCUGACAAGACUGCCAUCGUAAGAUGUGAGGAAGGUGGGGAUGACGUCAAAUCAGCACGGCCCUUACGUCCGGGGCUACACACGUGUUACAAUGGGGGGUACAGAGGGCCGCUACCACGCGAGUGGAUGCCAAUCCCCAAAACCUCUCUCAGUUCGGACUGGAGUCUGCAACCCGACUCCACGAAGCUGGAUUCGCUAGUAAUCGCGCAUCAGCCACGGCGCGGUGAAUACGUUCCCGGGCCUUGUACACACCGCCCGUCAAGCCAUGGGAGCCGGGGGUACCUGAAGUGCGUAACCGCGAGGAGCGCCCUAGGGUAAAACUGGUG
This 1426-nucleotide ribosomal RNA is filed under the name uncultured organism. Its description in RNAcentral is "16S ribosomal RNA". It matches the Rfam family "Bacterial small subunit ribosomal RNA". The record is from RNAcentral.